Molecule: ribosomal RNA, 1130 nt
Filed under: Lysinibacillus fusiformis
Lineage: Bacteria; Bacillati; Bacillota; Bacilli; Caryophanales; Bacillaceae
Description: bacterial SSU rRNA
Rfam family: Bacterial small subunit ribosomal RNA
Source: RNAcentral
GACGCUUCGACUGCCUUACGAUGACUGGUGCAUAGCUAGUGGUAGUACGUACAAGCGUCGAUCUAGCCUCCUGAAGGUGAUCUCACCUGAACUGAGCACGUCCAGACUCUACGGAGCAGCAGUAGGGAUCUCACAUGCGAAGCUGAUAGCACGCGCGUGAGUGAGAGUCUCGAUCGUAAAGCUCUGUUAGGGAGACGAGCUAAGUAGUAUCUGUCUGUAGCUUGACGGUACCUACUGAGAAAGCACGGCUAACUACUGCCAGCAGCCGCGGUAAUACUAGGGGCAAGCGUUGCUCGGAAUUAUUGGGCGUAAAGCGCGCGCAGGCGGUCUUAAGUCUGAUGUGAAACCCACGGCUCAACCGUGGAGGGUCAUUGAAACUGGGAUUGAGUGCGAGAGGAAGGGAAUUCUCAAGUGUAGCGGUGAAAUGCGUAGAGAUGGAGGAACACCAGUGGGAAGGCGACUCUCGGUCUGACUGCUGAGGCGAAGGUGGGGACAAACAGAUUAGAUACCCUGGUAGUCACGCCGUAACGAGAGUUAAGUGUUAGGGGGUUUCCCCCCUUAGUGUGCAGCUAACGCAUUAAGCUCCGCCUGGGGAGUACGGUCGCAAGUAAACUCAAAGAAUUGACGGGGGCCCGCACAAGCGGUGGAGCAUGUGGUUUAAUUCGAAGCAACGCGAAGAACCUUACCAGGUCUUGACAUCCUUGACCACGUAGAGAUAUAGUUUCCCCUUCGGGGCCAACGGUGACAGGUGGUGCAUGGUUGUGUCAGCUCGUGUCGUGAGAUGUUGGGUUAAGUCCCGCAACGAGCGCACCCCUUGAUUUUAGUCCCCUCAUUAGUUGGGCACUCUAAGGGACUGCCGGUGACAAACCGGAGGAAGGUGGGGAUGACGUCAAUCAUCAUGCCCUUAGCCUGGGCUACACACGUGCUACAAUGGCGUACAAGGUUGCCAACCGCGAGGGAGCUAAUCCAUAAAUCGUUCAGUCGGAUGAGCUGCAACUCGCCUCUGAAGCGGAAUCGCUAGUAAUCGCGAUCAGAUGCGCGGUGAAUACGUUCCCGGGCCUUGUACACACCGCCCGUCACACCAGGAGUUGUCACCGAAGUCGUUGGUAACCUUGGAGCGGCUAGAUGUU